RNAcentral lists this small RNA (28 nucleotides) under Bombyx mori (domestic silkworm). RNAcentral's name for it is "ovarian small RNA-32050". The record is from RNAcentral. Lineage: Eukaryota; Metazoa; Arthropoda; Insecta; Lepidoptera; Bombycidae.
UGACUUCAUAAAAGGAGAUGGUUCUUGG